AUUGGUGGUGUCAUCAUUAUUUCCAGAGACGAGGCAUCCCUGUAGCUGACUAUAUUCCUAUCUUUGGGAACAGGCUGCAAUGGCGUGAGGGAAUUUGGAAGGCUAUGGACGACUAUCACAAGAAGCAUGGAAAGGUGGUCGGGAUGUACGAUUUUCAACGCCCAAUUCUGAUUGUCAGUGAACCCGAAUUCCUGAAGAGUAUCCUGGUC
Molecule: long non-coding RNA, 209 nt
Organism: Patiria miniata (bat star)
Lineage: Eukaryota; Metazoa; Echinodermata; Asteroidea; Valvatida; Asterinidae
Exons: 3
Source: RefSeq, a predicted model, not a curated record